RNAcentral lists this ribosomal RNA (1244 nucleotides) under metagenome. RNAcentral describes it as "bacterial LSU rRNA". It matches the Rfam family "Bacterial large subunit ribosomal RNA", at positions 1564 to 2816 of the family's 2925-position model. The record is from RNAcentral.
UGAGUACGAGAUGCUACGGCAUCGAAGCAGUCUAUGUCAUACUUCCAAGAAAAGCUUGCAAUGUCAUAAACAAAUAAUGCCUGUACCAUAACCGACACAGGUGGGUAGGUAGAGUAUACUAAGGGGCGCGAGAUAACUCUCUCUAAGGAACUCGGCAAAAUGACUCCGUAACUUCGGGAGAAGGAGUGCCUUAUUUUUAUAAGGUUGCAAUAACAAGAUCCAAGCAACUGUUUACCAAAAACACAGGUCUCCGCUAAGUCGUAAGACGAUGCAUGGGGGCUGACGCCUGCCCAGUGCCAGAAGGUUAAAGAAGUUGGUUAGCAUUAGCGAAGCUGAUAACUGAAGCCCUGGUGAACGGCGGCCGUAACAAUAACGGUCCUAAGGUAGCGAAAUUCCUUGUCGGGUAAGUUCCGGCCCGCACGAAAGGCGUAAUGAUUUGGAUACUGUCUCGGAGAGGGGCUCGGUGAAAUAGACUUGUCUGUGAAGAUGCGGACUACCUGCACCUGGACAGAAAGACCCUAUGAAGCUUUACUGUAACUUGAGAUUGAAAUUGGACUUUAUCUGCGCAGUAUAGGUGGGAGACGUUGAAAAUAUUCUUGCGGGAAUAUUGGAGUCAUCAGUGAGAUACCACUCUUAUAAUGUUAGAUUUCUAACUUUGUAUCAUUAUCUGGUCAAAGAACAGUUUCAGGCGGGCAGUUUGACUGGGGCGGUCGCCUCCCAAACGGUAACGGAGGCGCACAAAGGUUUCCUCUGAACGUGUAGAAAUCGUAUCUAGAGUGUAAAGGCAUAAGGAAGCUUGACUGUGAGACCUACAAGUCGAGCAGGGACGAAAGUCGGUCUUAGUGAUCUGACGGUGCUGAGUGGAAAGGCCGUCACUCAACGGAUAAAAGUUACUCUAGGAUAACAGGCUGAUCUCCCCCAAGAGUUCACAUCGACGGUGAGGUUUGGCACCUCGAUGUCGGCUCAUCGCAUCCUGGGGCGGUAGUACGUCCCAAGGGUUGGGCUGUUCGCCCAUGAAAGCGGUACGCGAGCUGGGUUCAGAACGUCGUGAGACAGUUCGGUCCAUAUCCGGUGUAGGCGUUAGAAUAUUGAGAGGAGCCUUCUUUAGUACGAGAGGACCGAGAAGGACAUACCUCUGGUGUACCAGUUAUCGUGCCAACGGUAAACGCUGGGUAGCCAUGUAUGGAGAGGAUAACCGCUGAAAGCAUCUAAGUGGGAAGCCCACCUCAAGAUAAGUAUUCUCU